Molecule: small nucleolar RNA, 90 nt
Organism: Aspergillus bombycis
Lineage: Eukaryota; Fungi; Ascomycota; Eurotiomycetes; Eurotiales; Aspergillaceae
Source: Rfam
UUAUAUGAUGAAUCUUAUUAUUCACACUGUGUGAUCCAUGCUCUGCAUGGUAUGAACAUUUUACAAAAAUUCUGAUUUAAUGAGGUGAGU